UACGGAGGGCGCAAGCGUUAUCCGGAUUCACUGGGUUUAAAGGGUGCGUAGGUGGGCUAGUAAGUCCGUGGUGAAAUCUCCAAGCUUAACUUGGAAACUGCCGUGGAUACUAUUAGUCUUGAAUAUUGUGGAGGUAAGCGGAAUAUGUCAUGUAGCGGUGAAAUGCUUAGAUAUGACAUAGAACACCGAUAGCGAAGGCAGCUUGCUACACAAUCAUUGACACUGAGGCACGAAAGCGUGGGGAGCAAACAGG
This 253-nucleotide ribosomal RNA is filed under the name uncultured bacterium. Its description in RNAcentral is "partial 16S ribosomal RNA". It matches the Rfam family "Bacterial small subunit ribosomal RNA", at positions 524 to 776 of the family's 1533-position model. The record is from RNAcentral.